AACUUUAAUUUGUAUCACAAAAAUCCCUUAAAUUCAAAUGAUUGCAAAGAGAUUGUUGUUGAUAAAUUCAAAUUGUUCGAUUUUGUACAACUUAUCCUUUUGUUUGGAUAAGAAUUGUUGAUUUUGUGUUUUGGGAUUUGAAUAAGAAUUCGUGUAUUUUUUGAAUUUUUAAGGGGUUGUUUAUGGGUUUUGGCUUGCUGGUCAAAUUGAGUAGAGAAUAGGAGAAAAA
This 229-nucleotide unclassified non-coding RNA is filed under the name Hevea brasiliensis (rubber tree). The record is from RNAcentral. Lineage: Eukaryota; Viridiplantae; Streptophyta; Magnoliopsida; Malpighiales; Euphorbiaceae.